This 897-nucleotide ribosomal RNA is filed under the name uncultured archaeon. RNAcentral's name for it is "bacterial SSU rRNA". It matches the Rfam family "Archaeal small subunit ribosomal RNA", at positions 21 to 924 of the family's 1478-position model. The record is from RNAcentral.
CCUGACUGCUAUCGGAUUGAUACUAAGCCAUGCGAGUCAUUGUAGCAAUACAAGGCAGACGGCUCAGUAACGCGUAGUCAAUCUACCCUAUGGACGGGAAUAACCUCGGGAAACUGAGAAUGAUGCCCGAUAGAACAUUAUGCCUGGAAUGGUUUAUGUUUCAAAUGAUUUAUCGCCAUAGGAUGGGACUGCGGCCUAUCAGUUUGUUGGUGAGGUAAUGGCCCACCAAGACUAUUACAGGUACGGGCUCUGAGAGGAGUAGCCCGGAGAUGGGUACUGAGACACGGACCCAGGCCCUAUGGGGCGCAGCAGGCGAGAAAACUUUGCAAUGUGCGAAAGCACGACAAGGUUAAUCCGAGUGGUUUCUGCUAAAGAAACCUUUUGUCAGUCCUAGAGACACUAACGAAUAAGGGGUGGGCAAGUUCUGGUGUCAGCCGCCGCGGUAAAACCAGCACCUCAAGUGGUCAGGAUGAUUAUUGGGCCUAAAGCAUCCGUAGCUCGUUUUGUAAGUUUUCGGUUAAAUCCAUGCGCUUAACGUAUGGGCUGCCGGGAAUACUGCAUAACUAGGAGGUGGGAGAGGUAGACGGUACUCGGGAGGAAGGGGUAAAAUCCUUUGAUCUCUUGAUGACCACCUGUGGCGAAGGCGGUCUACCAGAACACGUUCGACGGUGAGGGAUGAAAGCUGGGGGAGCAAACCGGAUUAGAUACCCGGGUAGUCCCAGCUGUAAACUAUGCAAACUCAGUGAUGCAUUGGCUUAUGGCCAAUGCAGUGCUGCAGGGAAGCCGUUAAGUUUGCCGCCUGGGAAGUACGUACGCAAGUAUGAAACUUAAAGGAAAUUGGCGGGGGAGCACCACAAGGGGGUGAAGCCUGCGGUUCAAUNGGAUUCACGCCCGAAA